UACAGAGGUCCCAAGCGUUGUUCGGAUUCACUGGGCGUAAAGGGUGCGUAGGCGGUCGGGUAAGUCUGAUGUGAAAUCUCUGGGCUUAACCCAGAAAUGGCAUUGGAUACUAUUCGGCUUGAGGUCUGGAGGGGGGACUGGAAUUCUCGGUGUAGCAGUGAAAUGCGUAGAUAUCGAGAGGAACACCAGUGGCGAAGGCGGGUCUCUGGACAGUUCCUGACGCUGAGGCGCGAAGGCCAGGGGAGCAAACGGG
Molecule: ribosomal RNA, 253 nt
Filed under: uncultured bacterium
Lineage: Bacteria
Description: partial 16S ribosomal RNA
Rfam family: Bacterial small subunit ribosomal RNA
Source: RNAcentral